UGGGGAAUUUUGGACAAUGGGCGCAAGCCUGAUCCAGCCAUGCCGCGUGCGGGAAGAAGGCCUUCGGGUUGUAAACCGCUUUUGUUAGGGAAGAAAAGGUUCUGGCUAAUACCUGGGACUCAUGACGGUACCUGAAGAAUAAGCACCGGCUAACUACGUGCCAGCAGCCGCGGUAAUACGUAGGGUGCAAGCGUUAAUCGGAAUUACUGGGCGUAAAGCGUGCGCAGGCGGUUAUGCAAGACAGAGGUGAAAUCCCCGGGCUCAACCUGGGAACUGCCUUUGUGACUGCAUGGCUAGAGUACGGUAGAGGGGGAUGGAAUUCCGCGUGUAGCAGUGAAAUGCGUAGAUAUGCGGAGGAACACCGAUGGCGAAGGCAAUCCCCUGGACCUGUACUGACGCUCAUGCACGAAAGCGUGGGGAGCAAACAGG
This 429-nucleotide ribosomal RNA is filed under the name Acidobacteriota bacterium. RNAcentral's name for it is "Acidobacteria bacterium partial 16S ribosomal RNA". It matches the Rfam family "Bacterial small subunit ribosomal RNA", at positions 355 to 776 of the family's 1533-position model. Lineage: Bacteria; Pseudomonadati; Acidobacteriota. The record is from RNAcentral.